UACGAAGGGGGCUAGCGUUGCUCGGAAUCACUGGGCGUAAAGCGCACGUAGGCGGAUCGUUAAGUCAGGGGUGAAAUCCUGGAGCUCAACUCCAGAACUGCCUUUGAUACUGGCGAUCUUGAGUUCGAGAGAGGUGAGUGGAACUGCGAGUGUAGAGGUGAAAUUCGUAGAUAUUCGCAAGAACACCAGUGGCGAAGGCGGCUCACUGGCUCGAUACUGACGCUGAGGUGCGAAAAGCGCGGGGAGCAAACAGG
This 254-nucleotide ribosomal RNA is filed under the name uncultured bacterium. RNAcentral describes it as "partial 16S ribosomal RNA". It matches the Rfam family "Bacterial small subunit ribosomal RNA", at positions 524 to 776 of the family's 1533-position model. The record is from RNAcentral.